This 468-nucleotide ribosomal RNA is filed under the name uncultured bacterium. RNAcentral's name for it is "partial 16S ribosomal RNA". It matches the Rfam family "Bacterial small subunit ribosomal RNA", at positions 28 to 507 of the family's 1533-position model. The record is from RNAcentral.
GACGAACGCUGGCGGCGUGCUUAACACAUGCAAGUCGAACGGAAAGGCCCUGCUUUUGUGGGGUGCUCGAGUGGCGAACGGGUGAGUAACACGUGAGUAACCUGCCCUUGACUUUGGGAUAACUUCAGGAAACUGGGGCUAAUACCGGAUAGGAGCUCCUGCUGCAUGGUGGGGGUUGGAAAGUUUCGGCGGUUGGGGAUGGACUCGCGGCUUAUCAGCUUUUUGGUGGGGUAGUGGCUUACCAAGGCUUUGACGGGUAGCCGUCCUGAGAGGGUGACCGGCCACAUUGGGACUGAGAUACGGCCCAGACUCCUACGGGAGACAGCAGUGGGGAAUAUUGCACAAUGGGAUGAAGCCUGAUGCAGCAACGCCGCGUGCGGGAUGACGGCCUUCGGGUUGUAAACCGCUUUCGCCUGUGACGAAGCGUGAGUGACGGUAAUGGGUAAAGAAGCACCGGCUAAGUACGUG